GGGCCCGCACAAGCGGUGGAGUAUGUGGUUUAAUUCGAUGCAACGCGAAGAACCUUACCAGGGUUUGACAUCCUGCGAAUCUCUUGGAAACGAGAGAGUGCCUUCGGGAACGCAGUGACAGGUGGUGCAUGGCUGUCGUCAGCUCGUGUCGUGAGAUGUUGGGUUAAGUCCCGCAACGAGCGCAACCCACGUCUUUAGUUGCCAUCAAGUAAAGUUGGGAACUCUAGAGAGACCGCCGGUGAUAAACCGGAGGAAGGUGUGGAUGACGUCAAGUCAUCAUGCCCCUUACAUCCUGGGCUACACACGUACUACAAUGCUACGGACAAAGAGCAGCAAGUUCGCGAGGACAAGCAAAUCUCAUAAACCGUGGCUCAGUUCAGAUCGUAGGCUGCAACUCGCCUACGUGAAGGAGGAAUCGCUAGUAAUCGCAGGU
RNAcentral lists this ribosomal RNA (433 nucleotides) under uncultured bacterium. RNAcentral describes it as "bacterial SSU rRNA". It matches the Rfam family "Bacterial small subunit ribosomal RNA", at positions 917 to 1349 of the family's 1533-position model. The record is from RNAcentral.